This is a long non-coding RNA of Nicotiana tabacum (common tobacco), 1117 nucleotides long. RefSeq lists it as uncharacterized. The record is from RefSeq and is a predicted model, not a curated record. Lineage: Eukaryota; Viridiplantae; Streptophyta; Magnoliopsida; Solanales; Solanaceae.
GCCAACGGAUUAGAAGUCAUUGAAAGCAAGGAACAGAUGACAGAAAGGAGUCCAAAUUCAUUAUUAAAUGUCUGAUACGUUAUAAAGUUGAUAUUUAAUAGGAAUGAUUGUAUAACGGCUUAUUUAAUGUCAUUUAUUGCUCAUGAUUAUGUCAUUAAAAUUGAUGCUUUAUUCCUUUACCUAGAAUGAUCUAUAAAAGGAAGAAGUAUCAUCAUUUGUAAGGACACGAGAUACUAUUGAGAAUACACUGAAAUACUUAUCUAUUUACCCUCUACCAUUGUUCUCAAAAGUAUUUUAUUUUGUCUCUUGAUUUUCAGUAACCCAAAUUUUUCUUUUAGCUUUGACCAAGGACUCAGAUUUUUGGUUAAACACUGUCAUUGAUGAAACACUGAAAGAGCGAUAAGUGAUGGCCAAAGUAAUGAAAGAGAAUCUGAAAAAGGCUCAAAGUAGGAUAAAACUAUAUGCUGACAAAAAAAGAACUAAGAGAGAAUUUGAAGAAGGGGAUUGGGUAUUUAAUAUUUUUGAAGUUGCAACCAUAUAGGCAGGCAUAAGUAGCAAUCAGAAAAAGCUUGAAGCUGGCUUCCAAGUUCUUUGGCCCUUAUCAGAUCAUUAAAAAAAUUGGACAAGUUGCCUACAAGCUGAAGUUACCUCCUACAGCUAGAAUACAUCAUGUAUUUUAUAUUUCCCAGAUCAAGAAAAAGAUUGAAGAGAGAAUGGUGAAGAAAGGAAACAAGGCUACAACUCAGAUUUUGGUACCGUGGGCUAACAUAUUGCCCGAGAAAGUUACUUGGGAAGAUUACAACUUCAAUAAAUCUCAGUUUCAGGUUUUGAAGAACCUUGAGGAUAAUGUUCUAAAGGGGAAUGAAUAUUCAAGAAGGAAAAAGUUAGUUCAUUUUCUUACCUUUUGCAAUUGAGUCCUUAUUAGUGUAGUAGUAGUUUCAAUUAUGUCAGUCAAGUCACUUAGUUUGUUGUUUCUAUUCAAAGAAGUCCUACAUUCUGUUACAGGAUAGAAGGGCAGGUGUCAUGUUUGUAGGGACUGAGGUAGGAUCCAAGAGCUCACUCUUGGUACACUUUCAUACUUAAUAUGAGUAUAUUUUGAAAUUAAAUUAGAUAAUAA